Molecule: ribosomal RNA, 253 nt
Filed under: uncultured bacterium
Lineage: Bacteria
Description: partial 16S ribosomal RNA
Rfam family: Bacterial small subunit ribosomal RNA
Source: RNAcentral
UACGUAGGGUGCUAGCGUUAUUCGGAAUUACUGGGCGUAAAGCGUGCGUAGGCGGUUCGUUAAGUCAGCUGUGAAAGCCCCGGGCUCAACCUGGGAAUUGCGGUUGAAACUGGCGAACUAGAAUCUGGCAGAGGGGGGUGGAAUUCCACGUGUAGCAGUGAAAUGCGUAGAGAUGUGGAGGAACACCGAUGGCGAAGGCAGCCCCCUGGGCUGAGAUUGACGCUCAGGCACGAAAGCGUGGGGAGCAAACAGG